CCUACGGGGCGCAGCAGCGAGGAAUAUUGGUCAAUGGACGCAAGUCUGAACCAGCCAUGCCGCGUGAAGGAAGAAGGCUUUCGGGUUGUAAACUUCUUUUCUCAGGGACGAAGAAAGUGACGGUACCUGAGGAAUAAGCCACGGCUAACUACGUGCCAGCAGCCGCGGUAAUACGUAGGUGGCAAGCGUUAUCCGGAUUUAUUGGGUGUAAAGGGCGUGUAGGCGGGAACGCAAGUCAGAUGUGAAAACUCAGGGCUCAGCCCUGAGCCUGCAUUUGAAACUGUGUUUCUUGAGUGCUG
Molecule: ribosomal RNA, 299 nt
Filed under: uncultured bacterium
Lineage: Bacteria
Description: partial 16S ribosomal RNA
Rfam family: Bacterial small subunit ribosomal RNA
Source: RNAcentral